GUAGGGAAUCUUCCACAAUGGGCGAAAGCCUGAUGGAGCAACGCCGCGUGGGUGAAGAAGGUCUUCGGAUCGUAAAACCCUGUUGUUAGAGAAGAAAGUGCGUGAGAGUAACUGUUCACGUUUCGACGGUAUCUAACCAGAAAGCCACGGCUAACUACGUGCCAGCAGCCGCGGUAAUACGUAGGUGGCAAGCGUUAUCCGGAUUUAUUGGGCGUAAAGGGAACGCAGGCGGUCUUUUAAGUCUGAUGUGAAAGCCUUCGGCUUAACCGGAGUAGUGCAUUGGAAACUGGGAGACUUGAGUGCAGAAGAGGAGAGUGGAACUCCAUGUGUAGCGGUGAAAUGCGUAGAUAUAUGGAAGAACACCAGUGGCGAAAGCGGCUCUCUGGUCUGUAACUGACGCUGAGGUUCGAAAGCGUGGGUAGCAAACAGGAUUAGAAACCCUAGUAGUCC
RNAcentral lists this ribosomal RNA (450 nucleotides) under uncultured bacterium. RNAcentral describes it as "bacterial SSU rRNA". It matches the Rfam family "Bacterial small subunit ribosomal RNA", at positions 354 to 796 of the family's 1533-position model. The record is from RNAcentral.